UCUCCGUUGGUGAACCAGCGGAGGGAUCAUUAACGAGUUGCAAGACUCCAAACCAUCGCGAACCUACCUCACCGUUGCUUCGGCGGGAGGCCGUGCCGAUUUUUCGGGGCGGCCCCCGGCUCCUCGGGGCGCCCGCCGGAGGCAUCCACAACCCUGUUUUAUUAGUCAUCUCUGAGUAUAAUCAAAAUAAGUCAAAACUUUCAACAACGGAUCUCUUGGUUCGGGCAUCGAUGAAGAACGCAGC
RNAcentral lists this unclassified non-coding RNA (244 nucleotides) under uncultured fungus. Its description in RNAcentral is "sequence contains ITS1, 5.8S rRNA gene". The stretch from base 196 to 244 matches the Rfam family "5.8S ribosomal RNA", at positions 1 to 49 of the family's 154-position model. Lineage: Eukaryota; Fungi. The record is from RNAcentral.